RNAcentral lists this ribosomal RNA (468 nucleotides) under uncultured bacterium. Its description in RNAcentral is "partial 16S ribosomal RNA". It matches the Rfam family "Bacterial small subunit ribosomal RNA", at positions 28 to 507 of the family's 1533-position model. The record is from RNAcentral.
GACGAACGCUGGCGGCGUGCUUAACACAUGCAAGUCGAACGGAAAGGCCCUGCUUUUGUGGGGUGCUCGAGUGGCGAACGGGUGAGUAACACGUGAGUAACCUGCCCUUGACUUUGGGAUAACUUCAGGAAACUGGGGCUAAUACCGGAUAGGAGCUCCUGCUGCAUGGUGGGGGUUGGAAAGUUUCGGCGGUUGGGGAUGGACUCGCGGCUUAUCAGCUUGUUGGUGGGGUAGUGGCUUACCAAGGCUUUGACGGGUAGCCGGCCGGAGAGGGUGACCGGACACAUGGGGAGUGAGAUAAGGGGCGGACACGAGCAGGAGGGAGCAGCGGGGGGAAGUGGACGACGGGCGGAAGACUGAGGAGGCAAACGCGCGGGCGGGAGGGGAGGGUGCGGGUUGUGAACAGCAACCGACUGUGACGAAACGGGAGAGACGGGACGGGAAAAAGAAGCACCGGCUAACUACGUG